UUGCAAUGAGCAGAAGUGGAACUGACACAGAUUAUGUAAGAAUUAUGAAUUUGCAUUUCUAUGUAUUUAGUCAUUUACUCAUGGUUAAUACACUCUACUAAUAUACCAUCUAACUGGUUCAGUUGUGUUAUUUGAUUUAAUCUCCUAUGAAUAAGUAUUCAAAAAUUAUUUAUGCGUACUUGUGCUAUGUUUGUGCUUUAGCUAAUUGUUUUGGCAAUCAUCUGGAAGCAAUUUUGAUGUGGUGGCUUGUUGGUGCUAAUUAAUUCGUUUGAUCUUACCAGCAGAAACCGUGUUUCGCUACAUCAUAUCUUGCUUGAUGGAACUUUGCAUGCACACUGACCAUGGAACUCACUCAUGGAGGAGUUUUUUGAUCAUAGAAAGUCGUUCUUUUGAAAAUUGGCUUGAACUUUUACGUGGAGGUAUGCCUAUAUAUAAAUUCUGGAAGAUUAUUUCAGAUUAUCACCUUCGAUCUCCUGCAUUCCAAGCUUUUGCUUCUAUGUUUGCAUUGCGCAUUGGUUGAGGAGUGCCUGGCAGUUGGCGAGAGAAGAGGAUCAAAAGAACGAAAGGAGGCAAGAUUAUUUUAUGGUUGUGGAACCAGUCUCCCGGAUUCUAUUUUAUUUGCAUUACGUAUUGGUUGAGGAGUGCCUGGCAGUUGGCGAGAGAAGAGGAUCAAAAGAAUGAGAGGAGGCAAGAUUAUUUUAUGGUUGUGGAACCAGUCUCCCGGAUUCUAUUGUACAUGCAGAUGCAGAUUUGGUUUGAUGUUGAGAUUUGGCUGGGUCUCGAUUCAAUUUUGGCCAGGUGGUGCGCUGAAUACUCCUGCUAAUUCUAAUGGUAUUGGGAAAUGCGGCAAAACUUAUAUGAGCUGGAUUUCACUGUUGUUGCCGUGAGGGUGGUGAUGAUGUCGCUCUCUAGACAGACUGGCUAAAGAUGAAGCGCCUGUUGAGAAUUGCCCUUGUUUUAUGGGCAGUUCAUUUUCGUGAGCAAUUUAACAUUGAUUCAGGAAUACUGUGGGAAAGAAGAUGGAUCAUCUAGGAGGAAGUUCAGCAUAUAAAUGCUGAGGUGAAGUUCGGACACCACGCUGACUAUAUUCCCAGGCGCCCACGCCCACGGACUUGGAAGGGGCUGCAGACGAUAGUUAGUUAAUAAUAGACGAACAAAAUGAUGUCUACAUGUUGGUUAUGAGAGACGAAUAUCUCUGUGAUGUCAUUUUGCCGAACUGCAAAGCUAUCAUUUGAUGCAAUGUUCCUGAAAUUCAGCUUGUGGUACCUUUUUGUUUCUUGUAUGUACAUUAUAGUUUCUUGCUUGAUCAUUUUUGCGUAUAUUCUUUUCUCAAAGGACUACUGAAAUCUGAUAAAAAAAUAUAUUCUUUUAUUCAUUUCUCAGAUUACUGAAAUUAGUCUUGAAUAUAAUAAUGGAGAUCUUUGAUCUUGAAUUCUGUUUGGCCUUUUUCACAGCUGUAUGCUUUAAGAUAGCUGGAUACAUUCUAUUCUUGCAUUGGUAAAUUUACUUCAGGUGCAGAGAAAAUGGUAGCAAAAUUCUGUUAUUGAAUAUAUUCCUAAACUCUUCAUGAACUCAUCUGCUUGAUUUUUCUUCUCCCAUGAAGGCCUGCACAGCUCUACCUUAUUAUGUUUCCCAUCAUCAUUACUAAUUUCAUUAAGAAAGCAUGGAGAUGGAGGUUUGAGCAUGUGCAAAAUACUAUUUUUAUGUGAUGCUUAUUUACUUUGUCACUGCGAAGAAUAUAUUGCACAUGUGUCUUCUCUUUUAUCCUACUGGGAAAUGGAUUGGAUAGUUUCCUUUUUAUGAAAGCAAUAUUGUUUUCCCGUUGAGAGCCUCCAUGAUGGGAAUGAUCAAAUUUCAGUGCUUGUAGGUUCCCUGCGCCUUGCUUACUCCCCGGUUCGUCCAGUAUUCAUAAUUCGCUGUUUGCAAGCUGUAGAUCAACCAGAAAGCCUUUGUGCAGCCCAGCGACAGCCAUGGUGCUGCUUUUCAUCUUGUAAAGGAACUUAGCUUAUUCUUCAGAAUGUUCCAAUGAUUUUAGUUUGCAAGUUCUGUAUGAGUUUCCUUUUGCUGUGAGGGGUGCACCAUGUCCCUGCUUAGUUGCUCUGUGGUGAGGCAAACAAAUAUGUAUGGUUCCUGCUUUCUAGGUAAUUGAUAAAUCAUUUUGUGUGUUUGCUUUCCAUAAUUAAUGUCAUGUAGAUUACUGGCUCUUGUGCAUUGUAGGAGAUCGUGAAUGGCAGAAUUAGGUUACAGAUUGUGUGAGAAAUCACUGAUUGGUAGCCUGUGAGCUAAUUUGGAACAUCUUUUUUCCUUCACCAUGUAGUAUCUACCUUAGUUUUGCUAUUUCUCAAAGUUUAUGAUACUAUGGAUCUUUGUAACUGCAAAGAGGAAAUCUAAAAAUAACGUGAAUCUGUUAAGUGCUCAAAGUGAAUAUGUAAUUUGAGUUGAUUUGAUGUAUUAAGUAGGAGCUUCUUCUAUAAAUAACUAAAUGCAGGCGUGCCGGAGGUGCAGGUGACCAUAGCUGUGUACCUUGGUGAGCUUGCUUUGGCUCAUGUUUCCAAGAGAUUGGCGGCCUGCCUCAAAGGGAGGCGUCACUGAAUGCGCUGAGCCGAUGUCAUCUGAAGAAUCAAUCACCAAGAUACUGCUGCUUCAAGCUCUACCACUGCUCGCCGUCUCGCGGCUCCAUGGCCAGGUACGGUGGCGAUGUUCUUGGUCCAGUGGAGGCAAGCGCCGUGGGAGAAGAGUAACUUCGGGAGGGGUCAAGGUUGAGCAGGAGAUGAAGGGGUUGCCUUGCGCAGCACCGUGCUCGGUUUACCUUGGGCUCAUCCUCAAGGAUGAUGGCAGCAGUCGGGCCUGAUCCGGAGGUGGUGUGGUCAGCGAGUUCUCUGCCGGAGGAGGAGGCGAGGAACAACACGAGGUUUCAUAUCUUCAAAUCAUUCAGUAAUUGAUCUUCAGGAAAUGUAUUAAGAGCGUCGUGCAGAAGUUCAUGAUUGUUUGACUCAGUUAUGGCAAAUGAAGCAAAUGAGAUUUUCAUGUAUUCUUGUUUGUAGCAAAGUAUAAUUUUUCAGAAGGUUGGCUUA
Molecule: long non-coding RNA, 3074 nt
Organism: Lolium perenne
Lineage: Eukaryota; Viridiplantae; Streptophyta; Magnoliopsida; Poales; Poaceae
Source: RefSeq, a predicted model, not a curated record